This 301-nucleotide ribosomal RNA is filed under the name uncultured bacterium. Its description in RNAcentral is "partial 16S ribosomal RNA". It matches the Rfam family "Bacterial small subunit ribosomal RNA", at positions 509 to 809 of the family's 1533-position model. The record is from RNAcentral.
CAGUAGCCGCGGGAAUACGUAGGGCGCAAGCGUUGUCCGGAAUUAUUGGGCGUAAAGAGCUCGUAGGCGGUCUGUCGCGUCUGGUGUGAAAUCCCGAGGCUCAACCUCGGGCUUGCAUCGGGUACGGGCAGACUAGAGUGCGGUAGGGGAGACUGGAAUUCCUGGUGUAGCGGUGGAAUGCGCAGAUAUCAGGAGGAACACCGAUGGCGAAGGCAGGUCUCUGGGCCGCAACUGACGCUGAGGAGCGAAAGCAUGGGGAGCGAACAGGAUUAGAUACCCGGGUAGUCCCUGUCUCUUAUAA